RNAcentral lists this ribosomal RNA (460 nucleotides) under uncultured bacterium. RNAcentral describes it as "partial 16S ribosomal RNA". It matches the Rfam family "Bacterial small subunit ribosomal RNA", at positions 338 to 795 of the family's 1533-position model. The record is from RNAcentral.
CCUACGGGAGACAGCAGUGAGGAAUAUUGGUCAAUGGACGAGAGUCUGAACCAGCCAAGUAGCGUGAAGGAUGACUGCCCUAUGGGUUGUAAACUUCUUUUAUAUGGGAAUAAAAUGUUCCACGUGUGGGAUUUUGUAUGUACCAUAUGAAUAAGGAUCGGCUAACUCCGUGCCAGCAGCCGCGGUAAUACGGAGGAUCCGAGCGUUAUCCGGAUUUAUUGGGUUUAAAGGGAGCGUAGGUGGAUUGUUAAGUCAGUUGUGAAAGUUUGCGGCUCAACCGUAAAAUUGCAGUUGAAACUGGCAGUCUGGAGUACAGUAGAGGUGGGCGGAAUUCGUGGUGUAGCGGUGAAAUGCUUAGAUAUCACGAAGAACUACGAUUGCGAAGGCAGCUCACUGGACUGCAACUGACACUGAGGCUCGAAAGUGUGGGUAUCAAACAGGAUUAGAUACCCUAGUAGUC